Long non-coding RNA from Patella vulgata (common limpet), 1478 nucleotides. RefSeq lists it as uncharacterized. NCBI's taxonomy places the organism in Eukaryota, Metazoa, Mollusca, Gastropoda, Patellidae. The record is from RefSeq and is a predicted model, not a curated record. The transcript is spliced from 4 exons.
UUGGUUGUUGAUGUGGAAGUCUAUUGAGGGAAUAGAUAGAUAGAUAAACACAUAGGGUGACCAGAUACACGUCCGUCUAGAGAAUACCGAAAAUAUAAAAGACAAAAUGUCGGUAAUGCUAACAGCGUGUAAGGAUGCUGUGAAUGGCAAACGAGCGUUAGAACGUGCACUGAAGAAACGUAUGGAAAGGAAGGCGGAGAAACGUCAAGCCAGAUGGGAUGCUCUGGUUGAUAAACUAGGUCACAUACCACCAGAAAGUGAUGCAUCCAAAGUCUGGACGUUUUUAAUGGAAGGUGAACCAUUCAGUAUCGUUUUAUACCGAGAUUCACUUAAUGUGUAUUGUAAUGGCGAAGAGAUCGAAACCUUAAACGAAUUUUGUGAUGAUGGCGCCAUCAUUGAUUUCGCUCUAAAUGGACACAAAGCCAGGAUAAAGACGACUGCCGGAAGUAGCCGGGAUGAAGGGAUGACGUUUGCCUUGACGAUUGACGGUGGAAUUGUUCCUGGUAAAUGAUAACAGAAAAUCUACAGACUUACACCAACUGUUGCCUCGAUACGAAUAUAUCAUAAUAUCUUAAUUUAAAAUUUAUGAAGAGAAGAUGUAAAUUGUUUUUGUUUUUAAAGAAACCAAUAUUUAAAUAUUCUAAUUCACAGUAUUACACUUGUAGGAUACGGCGGCCAUAUUUAUUAAAAACUUCAAGCACUUGAGAUCGUUGUGAUUGGUUACCAUUUGGUACCAUUGGUUAAAACUGAUUACCUUUUUACCACUGGAUACCACUGAUUACCAUUGGAUACCAAUGAUUACGAUACCACUGAUUACCAUUGGUUACCAAUGAUUACCAUUGGAUACCAUUGAUUACCACUGGAUACCAUUGGUUACCAUUGGUUUACAUUUAGAUACCAAGCAAACAUCGGUACCUAGUUUACAUGUUCAAGAAAAAUAACAAUCGGAAUGAUUAUUUUUAAAAUUCCAAACCAUUUGUAAUUAUCUAAACCUAGACGAAUUUAAGGUCGAAUUUGAAUAUCCAAUUUCAUUUUCUGAGAUUCUGAACUCCACCAUGGUUACCAUGGCUUACCAUCUUUUGAAAGUUACCAUACAUUUUAAUGGACGCGUGUUUUUCGUAAAUUUGACCGCCUAGAGUUUAAAUGUUAGAGAGUCGUCUAAUGUGAACGCGAAGAAGCACACGGACAUGAUAUUAUGACGGGAUGAAUAAAUAACUGUUCACUUGUCGACCGCGUUCUCAAUAGAAAGCGAGGAAUGAGAGAAUGAAUUUUGUUUUUAAUUGUGAAUUUAUUGUUAGUUAGGCUUAAUUUAUAGAUAAUUGAAAUCGACCAUUUAUCGUUGAAAUUAUUACGACGAUUGAAAAUCAUGAAACUUUGAUGUAGGCAUAUCAUUGGUGAAGUGUAGGAACGAUAACUGGUCGAUUUUCACAAAUGUUUUGAAAGGGGCUCAAACAUGAAGAGAGUUAAACACUUCUUUU